Molecule: ribosomal RNA, 253 nt
Filed under: uncultured bacterium
Lineage: Bacteria
Description: partial 16S ribosomal RNA
Rfam family: Bacterial small subunit ribosomal RNA
Source: RNAcentral
UACGUAGGGUGCGAGCGUUGCCCGGAUUUAUUGGGCGUAAAGGGCGCGUAGGCGGCCAACUAAGUCAGACGUGAAAUCCCCAGGCUCAACCUGGGAACUGCGUCUGAUACUGGAUGGCUUGAAUUCGGGAGAGGGAUGCAGAAUUCCAGGUGUAGCGGUGAAAUGCGUAGAUAUCUGGAGGAAUACCGAUGGCGAAGGCAGCCCCCUGGGCCAAUACUGACGCUCAUGCACGAAAGCGUGGGGAGCAAACAGG